This 301-nucleotide ribosomal RNA is filed under the name uncultured bacterium. RNAcentral's name for it is "partial 16S ribosomal RNA". It matches the Rfam family "Bacterial small subunit ribosomal RNA", at positions 509 to 807 of the family's 1533-position model. The record is from RNAcentral.
CAGUAGCCGCGGUAAUACGUAGGGUGCGAGCGUUAAUCGGAAUUACUGGGCGUAAAGCGUGCGCAGGCGGUGAUGUAAGACAGUUGUGAGAUCCCCGGGCUCAACCUGGGAACUGCAUCUGUGACUGCAUCGCUGGAGUGCAGCAGAGGGGGAUGGAAUUCCGCGUGUAGCAGUGAAAUGCGUAGAUAUGCGGAGGAACACCGAUGGCGAAGGCAAUCCCCUGGGCCUGCACUGACGCUGAGGCACGAAAGCGUGGGGAGCAAACAGGAUUAGAUACCCCGGUAGUCCCUGUCUCUUAUAC